RNAcentral lists this long non-coding RNA (564 nucleotides) under Ananas comosus (pineapple). RNAcentral's name for it is "long non-coding RNA (ACOM_LNC018684)". The record is from RNAcentral. Lineage: Eukaryota; Viridiplantae; Streptophyta; Magnoliopsida; Poales; Bromeliaceae.
UAAAAUGAGAAGAGCUAGGCUGCUAUACUAUCGGUAGCACGGACGCCUUCGUGCUACCAAGUUAUUUUCAAUUAUACCGCUUCCAAAUCGACGAUCGGCUCCGUUAAACUUGAUCUACACUAUUGAAAGUAUUUGAAAACUAAAUUUCAUAAUUUUUCGGUAUCAUUUACCUAUCAAACGAGUAAUCUGAAAAUAAAAAUUUCAUAAAAAAUAAUGAUAGAAGACUUGAAUUUAAGAUUAGAGAUACUGAUCCUACUCUAAAUAGUAAAAAGAAUUUUCUAUAAAAAUUUCAUCUGAUUUGAAUUGUUUUACACCAUUAAAUUUACAAAUGCAUCACAUCUAUCAUUAAAAUUGUCAAUUUUGAGACAUUUUGAUCACUAGCCAAAUGAUGUCGAAAAAUUCUGAAAUUUAGUUUCUAAAUACUUUCAAUAGUGUAGAUCAAGUCUAAUGGAGCCGAUUGUCGAUUUGAAAACUGCUUCAUCGAAAAUAACUUGAUAACAUGGAAGUCUCCGUACUACCGAUAGUAUAGCAGCCCGACUCCAAUGAGAAAAUGCCACCAACCAG